ACUCCUACGGGAGGCAGCAGUGGGGAAUUUUGGACAAUGGGCGCAAGCCUGAUCCAGCCAUGCCGCGUGCGGGAAGAAGGCCUUCGGGUUGUAAACCGCUUUUGUCAGGGAAGAAAUCCUUUGGGUUAAUACCUCGGGGGGAUGACGGUACCUGAAGAAUAAGCACCGGCUAACUACGUGCCAGCAGCCGCGGUAAUAC
Molecule: ribosomal RNA, 199 nt
Filed under: uncultured bacterium
Lineage: Bacteria
Description: partial 16S ribosomal RNA
Rfam family: Bacterial small subunit ribosomal RNA
Source: RNAcentral